This 476-nucleotide ribosomal RNA is filed under the name uncultured bacterium. Its description in RNAcentral is "bacterial SSU rRNA". It matches the Rfam family "Bacterial small subunit ribosomal RNA", at positions 501 to 981 of the family's 1533-position model. The record is from RNAcentral.
CUACGUGCCAGCAGCCGCGGUAAUACGGAAGGUCCAGGCGUUAUCCGGAUUUAUUGGGUUUAAAGGGAGCGUAGGCGGAUUGUUAAGUCAGCGGUUAAAGGGUGUGGCUCAACCAUGCAUUGCCGUUGAAACUGGCGAUCUUGAGUGCAGACAGGGAUGCCGGAAUUCGUGGUGUAGCGGUGAAAUGCUUAGAUAUCACGAAGAACUCCGAUCGCGAAGGCAGCUGACGGGAGCGCAACUGACGCUUAAGCUCGAAGGUGCGGGUAUCAAACAGGAUUAGAUACCCUGGUAGUCCGCACAGUAAACGAUGGAUGCCCGCUGUUGGUACCUGGUAUCAGCGGCUAAGCGAAAGCAUUAAGCAUCCCACCUGGGGAGUACGCCGGCAACGGUGAAACUCAAAGGAAUUGACGGGGGCCCGCACAAGCGGAGGAACAUGUGGUUUAAUUCGAUGAUACGCGAGGAACCUUACCCGGGCU